Molecule: ribosomal RNA, 253 nt
Filed under: uncultured bacterium
Lineage: Bacteria
Description: partial 16S ribosomal RNA
Rfam family: Bacterial small subunit ribosomal RNA
Source: RNAcentral
UACGUAGGGGGCAAGCGUUGUCCGGAAUCAUUGGGCGUAAAGAGCGUGUAGGCGGCCAGAAAAGUCCGCUGUGAAAACUCGAGGCUCAACUUCGAGCUGUCGGUGGAAACUUUCUGGCUAGAGUCCGGAAGAGGAGAAUGGAAUUCCUGGUGUAGCGGUGAAAUGCGCAGAUAUCAGGAAGAACACCCGUGGCGAAGGCGGUUCUCUGGGACGGUACUGACGCUGAGGUGCGAAAGCGUGGGGAGCAAACAGG